UACAGAGGGGGCAAGCGUUAUUCGGAAUUACUGGGCGUAAAGCGUGCGUAGCCGGUUGCAUAAGUCAGAUGUGAAAGCCCCGGGCUCAACCUGGGAAUUGCAUUUGAGACUGUGUAGCUAGGGUGCGGAAGAGGGAAGCGGAAUUUCCGGUGUAGCGGUGAAAUGCGUAGAUAUCGGAAGGAACACCAGUGGCGAAAGCGGCUUCCUGGUCCAGCACCGACGUUCAGGCACGAAAGCGUGGGGAGCAAACAGG
This 253-nucleotide ribosomal RNA is filed under the name uncultured bacterium. RNAcentral's name for it is "partial 16S ribosomal RNA". It matches the Rfam family "Bacterial small subunit ribosomal RNA", at positions 524 to 776 of the family's 1533-position model. The record is from RNAcentral.